UUUACAUCAUCACAUAAAGUUCUGUUGGACAACACUGUCAUAAUGUGCUUAGGAAACUUCAGGAAUUUGAUUUACUGAAAGUGUAGAUUGCAGUGUUGAGAUGGAAGUUGCAGAGGCCAGGAGGAAGGAGAUGCUGCUGCAAGAGAACUCAUUGGGAACCUUUAGGAACUGAGAUUUGCUAAACUACCAGAUGAAUUCAGACCUUCAUUUGUGGUGAAUCUGUAAAGGGUCCUCCUUGGGGGUGCCAGAACUGAUAUGGCCUUCAGUCAUAGAGCGGGAGACACAGAAUCUGAAGCAGG
Molecule: long non-coding RNA, 299 nt
Organism: Hyaena hyaena (striped hyena)
Lineage: Eukaryota; Metazoa; Chordata; Mammalia; Carnivora; Hyaenidae
Exons: 3
Source: RefSeq, a predicted model, not a curated record